CGUUACAAAAUGAUCGGGGAAGAAAACUCACGGCAGCAACGCCUCCCCCAACGAUCACAUACUUGAACGACUUCUCGGCCAUUGAAUCUGUUCAAAAAUCUGUCGUCUGAGUCACGAUAAUGCAGAUUGCAAUAUCUUUUGAGCUUAUUUUUGAGUAAGAAUAAUGUUAUUUGCAAUCCGUCAUCAUACCUGGCAUACGCAUGAUAUGAUAAGUGAUUAUUUGAUGCAUUAAUGAAUAAAAAAAUUAUAAUAUUAAUGCAUUAAAUAAUCACAUAUCAUGGGUAUGUCGAAUAGUACGAUUAACAAAGUGAACGAUUA
RNAcentral lists this long non-coding RNA (318 nucleotides) under Olea europaea subsp. europaea. The record is from RNAcentral. Lineage: Eukaryota; Viridiplantae; Streptophyta; Magnoliopsida; Lamiales; Oleaceae.